ACUCCUACGGGAGGCAGCAGUGGGGAAUAUUGCGCAAUGGCCGCAAGCCUGACGCAGCGACGCCGUGUGGGGGAUGAAGGCUUUCGGGUUGUAAACCACUGUCAGGAGGGACGAAUACUCGGCUUCAAAUAGUUGACCGAGGGUGACGGUACCUCCAAAGGAAGCACCGGCUAACUCCGUGCCAGCAGCCGCGGUAAU
This 198-nucleotide ribosomal RNA is filed under the name uncultured Gemmatimonadota bacterium. RNAcentral describes it as "uncultured Gemmatimonadetes bacterium partial 16S ribosomal RNA". It matches the Rfam family "Bacterial small subunit ribosomal RNA", at positions 335 to 524 of the family's 1533-position model. The record is from RNAcentral. Lineage: Bacteria; Pseudomonadati; Gemmatimonadota.